This 19-nucleotide non-coding RNA is filed under the name Arabidopsis thaliana (thale cress). The record is from RNAcentral. Lineage: Eukaryota; Viridiplantae; Streptophyta; Magnoliopsida; Brassicales; Brassicaceae.
GACGCGGAUUACGGUGGCG